UUAUUUUUUUUUUUCCCGCUCUCAGCCUCCGGUUCUCUCAGGAAUGGCCACGUUCCUUUCCCACUCCUCUUUGACAAGAUUAGUCUACAAUAUUCUAUCCUCCAAGCUCCUUCACCGAUGCAGCUGGGGCUAAUAAGUAGUGGUACUUUACCUGGUCGUUUCUUCUCCCUUUUUAUUUGUCCUCCCAACCGCUUGCAGAUUGAAUAAUACAAGUUAUAGAAAGAUGAGUAGGGAUCAUCAGACUGAUUUACCACAGGUACAAAACAGUAGUAGCGUGCAGAAUUACGGUAACGUGUUGGACAUUUACCCGCUGAACUGCUACUAUUUUGGCUCCAAAGAAGCUGUUCCGUUUAAGGACGAGACUACGUCCGAUCGUAUCCUUCGAAUGAAAUUCAACUAUGAUGCUCAUGGAUUAAGGACCUGUGUGCAAGCUGUAAUGCUGGUCAGAACUCCAUUUAACUCCUGCAUUUUUAACUUCUCCUUUUACAAUUGCUUGUGAAUUUUUGAUAGACCUUGUUAAGUGAUCGAUACAGCUGAUGUAUUUUGUGAUUUUUGCAUUUUCUUAACUUACUCAAUGAUUUUUUUUUGCAUUUUCUACUUACAGCUGAUGUAUUUCGUGAUUUUGGUUAAGUGAUCGAGGUGAAUAUUGUUUUUUGUCCCCGGGAGAGGGGGAGCUUGAGAUACUAUCUGAGAUUUCGUUGGCUAAUGUUUGUAUGUUUUUUUUAAACUGUGAAUAAGAAUGAAGGAAUAAUUUUAAUGUAAUAAUAAUAAUAAAAAAUUUAAUGUAAUAAGGGGUCAUGCCUGGUAAGAUUUUUGCAAAUAUUACUAACAUUACUCUUUCUGAAAAUAGACUUUAUUCCGACAAAAUCAUGUUAAAAAUCUGAGGCAUUGAGGAAGGAUUUGAUAUGGAGUUGGCGGGUAAAGGAAUUUAAGAAACAAAAAGGAAAAUAGAACAAAGUGAGAAGAAGGUGAUACUGUCAGCAAAAUUAGUUCUGUCUGUUAUCAAGCAUUUUCGCUUAUGUUGGUGAGUUACAAGUUAUAUACUGAGAAAACCUUCCCCAUCUAGUGGCCUAUUUAUCAGCUUGACUGUUGAAUGGCCGGUGGAAAGUUGACCUAUGCUGAAAUUUAAGCAUUGAUUGGAGUAUCUCUUUGUUUUUUACACAAGAUGUCAUGGUGUUUGGCCCUGUGAGAUCGAUUAACUGUAAUGGUUUAUAUAUGUGAACCAACAACUAAAUGGAGGCACUCGUCAGAAAAAAUCAUAUCCAAAUAGACAAGUAUUAGGCUUUAUUCAUAGCUGAACAUCAGAACCGCACCAAGUCUUUCGCACUAAAGUUUGUGUUUCUGAUCUUCACUUCCCAGUAUCAAUGAAAGAUUGAGGCUCAAUCUGUUUUUAAGUGUCCUUAGUUGGUUUGCGCCAUUAUAAUGAUCUUUCAACUUUUCUUUGGUUCACUAGAAGCAACAGAUUAUGGCUUUCCUGCAGUUUCUUCUACUUACUUUCAAUUUUGAGGAAAAAUGUGGUAACAUUCUAUGUUGAUAUCUUGUUAUAUACAACUGUGUGAGGAAACAAGUUUUAGAGGCCCAUUGAUGAAUUGGGGGUAGCAGUCCUCAGCUUGAUUGAGCCUUUUUUCAGUUAAUAAAGUGGCUGUUGUCAAGCCUGAUGUCCUAGCAUGUUCUAUAGAUAUACUUGAAAUUAAAAUUGUUGUUGGACCUGUUUAUUAUGAUCUGAAUAUCUCUCAGGACUAAAAGGGGUUGAGCUACAAUUAGGAGGAUUUGGAAUUUUCUUUGCAAAUACCGUAGGUCAAAAUGCUGGUUUAGGAAAUGAUAGUCUGCACCCCUGUGGAAUAAUAGAGUUCAUAGUUAAUGUGUCUCCAUCAGUGUAUGAUUCCUAUAUGUAUAGUGCAAUUUGUAGUUUCUAUGAAUGCGAGAGAUGGAGUAUGAGGCCAUUUACUUUCCCUGACCUAGAUUACUUGUGUAAUUAGUUCUUUUAUUGAUGAAUAGAUAAAGUAACUGUUACAGGUUGAAUUGUUCAAGCACCCCCACGUAUUGCUGUUGCAAGCACGGAACUCGAUCUAUAAGCUUCCAGGUGGUCGUUUGAGGACAGGUGAAUCAGAUAUACAAUGCUUAAAGCGCAAACUAUCAAGCAAGUUAUCUGCUGUUGGAGAUUGUAGUGCGCCUGAUUGGGAGGUGGGCGAAUGCCUUGGUAUGUGGUGGAGGCCUGAUUUUGAUGCAUUACUUUAUCCCUAUCUGCCACCUAAUAUAAAAAGGCCAAAGGAGUGCACAAAACUCUUUCUUGUGAAGUUGCCUGAGAGUCAGAAAUUCACGGUACCGAGGAAUCUCAAGCUUCUUGCAGUACCUCUAUGUCAACUUCAUGAAAACCACAAGACUUACGGACCAAUAAUAUCAGGAGUACCGCAGCUGCUAUCCAAAUUCUCCUUCAACAUCAUAGAGAGCUGAAAUUUUUGCACUAGAAAUUUCCUUGAUAUAGUGUGGCAGCAAUUAGAAACUACAUCAUAGGAUUAUGACGUACAGUUAUACAAAUCACUUGUACAUGUGAACUGGAUCUCUUUUUUUUUGUUUUGUUUUUUUCCCACUCUCUUUCUUGUCAAUAUGUAUUUAUGGAUGGUCUCAGACUCAUGUAUUGCUCCGUUCUCCUGCAUAAUGCUAUAGACUGAGUUUAAGAUUUUUUCUUUUUCUAAAGUUCAUAGUUGCAACAGAAGAAGUGGAAUUUAUGAGCAUGUGAAAGAACAUGCUCAUCAACAUAACAUACAAUGCACCAAGAGGUUUCGUCGUCGUCACGUGCCGCGCACGUGAGCUGUGUAAGUCUGCGCUUCUCCAAAUGCUCCAUUGGAAUGGUUCGGGUAAUUGGGUCGCCCAUGGGUUUUCUGCUUUGGAAUGGAUGGCCGUACCAGUUCCUUUCCUUUCCCAGCUCUCACAGCUGCAUUGUCCAGAGCUAACAGUAGAGCUUCCUCAAGAAUGGUAAUUGGUGUGAUUUAUCAUGGCUGUGUCUUCCGAUGUCGUCCGAAUUCCAAGACGGGUUGGUUGUGCCCUUUUUUCCUAGGGUUUUCUCAUCUGCUUUUUUCAUUUCCAUUUUCUGAAAUUGGUUGUGCCCUUGAACCCGUUCCCCUUUUUGAGCUCCUUCCUCUCACCGCCUUCUCUGGCCAGCUUGAUUGCGAGCUUGGUUUCAUCUUCUUCGUGCGUUUUAAGCUCGGUCUCCCCGAGUUUCUUUUACUGGUGCAUUUUUCCUCUGCGUAUUUGCUGCGUAUCCUUUUUUCCUUUGAUUUUGCUUUUCUCGUUGGCUUGUGAAGGCCACCGAAUUUCUCAUUUUCUCUUAAAUGUGGUCUCAAACAACCUUUUCCAUUCCAAAUCUGGGCGGCUCCGCAGAACCCUAAUCCACAGUUAAGGAGGGAAAACGUAAGAAGAAUCAGCAGCGAUGGCGGUGCCUUUGCUUUUGAAGAAGACAGUGAAGAAAAGGGUCAAGAAGUUCAAGCAACCCCAGAGCGACCGAAAAAUCUCCGUCAAGGUUAUUUUACUGGUUUUCAUCCUAGCCUUGUGCAUUCGGCUUUGGAAUCUAUAGCAAAGGAAUGGCUACUGCUACUCCUUCGGGUGUUGGUAUUGCCUCCCACGUGAUCUCUCCCUGUCGAUCCAUCUCUCAUCUAUUGUGCUUGUUUCUCCUGAUGUUGAGGCAAACCUCCUUGAUAGUUGGUUAGUGAUGUUUCUUUUGUUAAUUUUCCUCCAUUGCGCCGUUGUCUCGUCUUGAUGCAUAUAUUCUCGCUUUCUUUUCUGAUUUAGGUGUAAUGAUAAUGUCUCUAAGUUGGUUCGUUUGGUUUUUGAGGGGUGUGCAUAUGCAAACCCUGCUGUCUUGCACCCCCCUGUUCAUGAUUCGACUAUUACUCCCAUCUAUUAUGUUUUGUCCUAUGAUGCGUUUGUUAGUGCCUUUGCUAUUUCUUGAUGCUUUGGUAUACUUUAUUUUUUCAGGUACUGCCUUUGUUUAUAUUUGUUCUUGUUUGAUAAUGCUUUUGUUUGGAUAUCAUGAUUGGGAAACUGCAUGGAUUAAGGGUCGUGUAGAAGUUGCUUGGCCAUUGUUCACUUUUUGGCAUAUGGCCUGUCCUCAUUGUUAUGAGCUAUAUGAUUUUUCUGCCACCCUUGGAAUUCUAUACCUUGCUUGAGGUCAGGGAAUGUAUGAUUUCCCUAGGUGCAUCGUGGAUUUGUUAUUAGUUACUAGUUUUUAAAAAACCUAUGUAUUCCUUGGUUUCCUUUUUUUUUGGUGGUUAAUGUUAUUUUUGUUAUAGAGCAUGGGUCUGGGUCACUUUUCAUGAUGAUACUGGGUGUGUAAACGUUAUUGCAUUAGGUGUCGAAGCUGAGAAGCUAAUUGGUGUAAGCGCGCUUGACAUGUUUGAGGCUGCUGACGAUGAGGCUAUGUGUUGCUCUAUUCUCAUGCAUAGAUACCUGAACUUGGAGAUUUGCAUAGAUACCUGAGCUGACGAUGAGGCUAUGUGUAGCCAGACCUUUAAGUUGUACCAUCGUGUGGCUUGUCGAAUUGAACGAACCAGGCUCCUAUGCUAUUUUAAGCGUUCAUCCGAUGUGAUCAACAAAGUGACGUGCACUAAAUACGCUGUUGUUGCUUGCUACCCAGUUUAGAGAGGUUGUUUUUGGAUGCUUAUUUCUUGUGCAAAUUUUGUCAGCUCGUGAACUUCUUUGAGCUUGUAGCGGCGUCGGUAUUAGUUUUGAGGCUUAUAUGCUGUUGAUACUAAUAGUAGUAUUUAGUGGUUCUGUUCUUUUUAAAAAAUUUGAUUUGGGAUGCUCUGUUAUGCUGCCAGCUCAGAGCCUUUCUUCUUGGGCUGAGUUCUUAGGCAGCAGUAGUAUUUGGAAUAGUGAUAUGUAGACUGUAGACCACAUGUUUGUUACUUUAGACAAUUCAUUCACUGGACAAUUACUAGACUUUGUUUUGUUUCUGCGUAUCUAAAACCUAAGAUCUUUGUAUAGUUCUUUAGCCUUUGGAGUUUUAAGCAACAAACAUUCCU
This is a non-coding RNA of Coffea arabica (coffee), 5021 nucleotides long. NCBI's taxonomy places the organism in Eukaryota, Viridiplantae, Streptophyta, Magnoliopsida, Gentianales, Rubiaceae. The record is from RefSeq and is a predicted model, not a curated record.